GGGUUGUGAGGUUAAGCGACUAAGCGUACACGGUGGAUGCCCUGGCAGUCAGAGGCGAUGAAGGACGUGCUAAUCUGCGAUAAGCGCCGGUAAGGUGAUAUGAACCGUUAUAACCGGCGAUUUCCGAAUGGGGAAACCCAGUGUGAUUCGUCACACUAUCAUUAACUGAAUCCAUAGGUUAAUGAGGCGAACCGGGGGAACUGAAACAUCUAAGUACCCCGAGGAAAAGAAAUCAACCGAGAUUCCCCCAGUAGCGGCGAGCGAACGGGGAGGAGCCCAGAGCCUGAAUCAGCAUGUGUGUUAGUGGAAGCGUCUGGAAAGGCGCGCGAUACAGGGUGACAGCCCCGUACACAAAAGCGCAUGUGCUGUGAGCUCGAUGAGUAGGGCGGGACACGUGGUAUCCUGUCUGAAUAUGGGGGGACCAUCCUCCAAGGCUAAAUACUCCUGACUGACCGAUAGUGAACCAGUACCGUGAGGGAAAGGCGAAAAGAACCCCGGCGAGGGGAGUGAAAAAGAACCUGAAACCGUGUACGUACAAGCAGUGGGAGCACCCUUUGGGGUGUGACUGCGUACCUUUUGUAUAAUGGGUCAGCGACUUAUAUUCUGUAGCAAGGUUAACCGUAUAGGGGAGCCGGAGGGAAACCGAGUCUUAAUUGGGCGUUAAGUUGCAGGGUAUAGACCCGAAACCCGGUGAUCUAGCCAUGGGCAGGUUGAAGGUUGGGUAACACUAACUGGAGGACCGAACCGACUAAUGUUGAAAAAUUAGCGGAUGACCUGUGGCUGGGGGUGAAAGGCCAAUCAAACCGGGAGAUAGCUGGUUCUCCCCGAAAGCUAUUUAGGUAGCGCCUCGUGAAUUCAUCUCCGGGGGUAGAGCACUGUUUCGGCUAGGGGGCCAUCCCGGCUUACCAACCCGAUGCAAACUGCGAAUACCGGAGAAUGUUAUCACGGGAGACACACGGCGGGUGCUAACGUCCGUCGUGAAGAGGGAAACAACCCAGACCGCCAGCUAAGGUCCCAAAGUCAUGGUUAAGUGGGAAACGAUGUGGGAAGGCCCAGACAGCCAGGAUGUUGGCUUAGAAGCAGCCAUCAUUUAAAGAAAGCGUAAUAGCUCACUGGUCGAGUCGGCCUGCGCGGAAGAUGUAACGGGGCUAAACCAUGCACCGAAGCUGCGGCAGCGACACUGUGUGUUGUUGGGUAGGGGAGCGUUCUGUAAGCCUGUGAAGGUGUGUCGUGAGGCAUGCUGGAGGUAUCAGAAGUGCGAAUGCUGACAUAAGUAACGAUAAAGCGGGUGAAAAGCCCGCUCGCCGGAAGACCAAGGGUUCCUGUCCAACGUUAAUCGGGGCAGGGUGAGUCGACCCCUAAGGCGAGGCCGAAAGGCGUAGUCGAUGGGAAACGGGUUAAUAUUCCCGUACUUGGUGUUACUGCGAAGGGGGGACGGAGAAGGCUAUGUUGGCCGGGCGACGGUUGUCCCGGUUUAAGCGUGUAGGUGUGUGUUCCAGGUAAAUCCGGUUCACUUUAACACUGAGGCGUGACGACGAGGCACUACGGUGCUGAAGCAACAAAUGCCCUGCUUCCAGGAAAAGCCUCUAAGCAUCAGGUAACAUCAAAUCGUACCCCAAACCGACACAGGUGGUCAGGUAGAGAAUACCAAGGCGCUUGAGAGAACUCGGGUGAAGGAACUAGGCAAAAUGGUGCCGUAACUUCGGGAGAAGGCACGCUGACACGUAGGUGAAGUGAUUUACUCAUGGAGCUGAAGUCAGUCGAAGAUACCAGCUGGCUGCAACUGUUUAUUAAAAACACAGCACUGUGCAAACACGAAAGUGGACGUAUACGGUGUGACGCCUGCCCGGUGCCGGAAGGUUAAUUGAUGGGGUCAGCGCAAGCGAAGCUCCUGAUCGAAGCCCCGGUAAACGGCGGCCGUAACUAUAACGGUCCUAAGGUAGCGAAAUUCCUUGUCGGGUAAGUUCCGACCUGCACGAAUGGCGUAAUGAUGGCCAGGCUGUCUCCACCCGAGACUCAGUGAAAUUGAACUCGCUGUGAAGAUGCAGUGUACCCGCGGCAAGACGGAAAGACCCCGUGAACCUUUACUAUAGCUUGACACUGAACAUUGAGCCUUGAUGUGUAGGAUAGGUGGGAGGCUUUGAAGUGUGGACGCCAGUCUGCAUGGAGCCGACCUUGAAAUACCACCCUUUAAUGUUUGAUGUUCUAACGUGGACCCGUAAUCCGGGUUGCGGACAGUGUCUGGUGGGUAGUUUGACUGGGGCGGUCUCCUCCUAAAGAGUAACGGAGGAGCACGAAGGUUGGCUAAUCCUGGUCGGACAUCAGGAGGUUAGUGCAAUGGCAUAAGCCAGCUUGACUGCGAGCGUGACGGCGCGAGCAGGUGCGAAAGCAGGUCAUAGUGAUCCGGUGGUUCUGAAUGGAAGGGCCAUCGCUCAACGGAUAAAAGGUACUCCGGGGAUAACAGGCUGAUACCGCCCAAGAGUUCAUAUCGACGGCGGUGUUUGGCACCUCGAUGUCGGCUCAUCACAUCCUGGGGCUGAAGUAGGUCCCAAGGGUAUGGCUGUUCGCCAUUUAAAGUGGUACGCGAGCUGGGUUUAGAACGUCGUGAGACAGUUCGGUCCCUAUCUGCCGUGGGCGCUGGAGAACUGAGGGGGGCUGCUCCUAGUACGAGAGGACCGGAGUGGACGCAUCACUGGUGUUCGGGUUGUCAUGCCAAUGGCACUGCCCGGUAGCUAAAUGCGGAAGAGAUAAGUGCUGAAAGCAUCUAAGCACGAAACUUGCCCCGAGAUGAGUUCUCCCUGAGACUUAAAGUCUCCUGAAGGAACGUUGAAGACGACGACGUUGAUAGGCCGGGUGUGUAAGCGCAGCGAUGCGUUGAGCUAACCGGUACUAAUGAACCGUGAGGCUUAACCUUACAACGCCGAAG
Molecule: ribosomal RNA, 2926 nt
Filed under: Salmonella enterica subsp. enterica serovar Virchow
Lineage: Bacteria; Pseudomonadati; Pseudomonadota; Gammaproteobacteria; Enterobacterales; Enterobacteriaceae
Description: 23S ribosomal RNA
Rfam family: Bacterial large subunit ribosomal RNA
Source: RNAcentral